RNAcentral lists this ribosomal RNA (420 nucleotides) under uncultured bacterium. RNAcentral's name for it is "bacterial SSU rRNA". It matches the Rfam family "Bacterial small subunit ribosomal RNA", at positions 355 to 786 of the family's 1533-position model. The record is from RNAcentral.
UGGGGAGUAUUGCACAAUGGGGAGGACCCUGAUGCAGCGACGCCGCGUGAGUGAAGAAGUAUUUCGGUAUGUAAAGCUCUAUCAGCAGGGAAGAAAUGACGGUACCUGACUAAGAAGCCCCGGCUAACUACGUGCCAGCCAGCCGCGGUAAUACGUAGGGGGCGAAGCGUUAUCCGGAUUUACUGGGUGUAAAGGGAGCGUAGACGGUAUGGCAAGUCUGAAGUGAAAGCCCCGGGCGUCAACCCAGGGCAAGCUGCUUUGGAAUACUGUUAAACUGGAGUGCUGGAGAGGCAGGCGGAAUUCCUAGUGUAGCGGUGAAAUGCGUAGAUAUUAGGAGGAACACCAGUGGCGAAGGCGGCCUGCUGGACAGUAACUGACGUUGAGGCUCGAAAGCGUGGGGAGCAAACAGGAUUAGAUACC